Molecule: long non-coding RNA, 8055 nt
Filed under: Prunus persica (peach)
Lineage: Eukaryota; Viridiplantae; Streptophyta; Magnoliopsida; Rosales; Rosaceae
Description: long non-coding RNA (PPER_LNC007923)
Source: RNAcentral
ACAAAUUGGUUCUCCUCUGAGUAUUACUAUAAAUAGGACAUUUUCCUUUGCUUUUGAAAAAAAAACUCACCUUGCUUGAAAGUUUAAAAGAAAAAAAAAAAGAAAAAAAAAAGGACAGUAAAGUGAUGAAAUUCUUGGAGGAGAUAUAGGGCUUAGCUUGUGUUUUCUUAAAAUUUUGAGCUAAGCUUUGGAAUAGAGAUAGAGAAAAGUAGAAUUGUUAAGAAAAAGAGUGGGAGACUGAGUUCGUGAAUACAGUGGAAAAUUGGGAAACACCUUACAUUUCUAGCAAAAGCUUUGGUGUCAAGGUAAGGGGCUUCUUGUGUGAGAAUAUAUGAAGAAUAGGGUUUGUAUUCAGUGAGUCAAACCGUACACAGAGGCAUGUGUUUUAUACAAGUAAAUGAAAGCUAUUCUAGGAAAACAGAGAAGCUAUUCUAGGUAAACAGAACCUAUUUAUGUCGAUUACAAUUUUAUCCUACAACUACUCCUAAUUAGAUCAUAAUCAGAUCAUUGACUAUUUUGUUUCCUUUUACACUACCCCUCAAGUUGGAGUAUGGAUGUUAAUUAUACCCAACUUGCUGAGAUGCGUAUGAAAGAUGGGUGCCCUUAGCGGUUUUGUAAAGAUGUCAGCUAUCUGAUUUCCUAUUGGCACAUAAGCUGUCUUGAUUUCACCCUUUUGGAUCUUUUCACGAACUGUGUGACAAUCUAGCUCGAUAUGCUUAGUUCUCUCAUGGUACACCGGAUUCGCAGCAAUAUGUAAGGCUGCUUGAUUGUCGCAAAACAAUCUUGCUGGCCCAGAAUGUGGUACCCGUAAAUCUCUCAACAAAUAUCUUAACCAAGUAAGCUCACAAGUGGCUGCAGCCAUCGAACGGUAUUCUGCUUCGGCUGAUGAUCUAGACACCGUGACUUGCUUCUUACUCUUCCAGGACACGAGUGAGUUUCCAAGGAAAAUGCAAUAUCCUGUCACUGAUCGUCGUGUCAUAGGACACUUGGCCCAAUCCGCAUCACAAUAACCAACCAAACUUAGCUGACUUCUUGUAGAAAAUAGUAAGCCUUGCCCAGGUGCGUUCUUCAGGUAUUGAAGAAGAUGACGUGCUGCCUUGAGGUGGUGUAGCUUGGGUUCUUGCAUGAACUGACUCAAAGUAUUCACUGCAUAUGUAAUCUCUGGCCUGGUGAUGGUGAGGUAGAUUAAUUUUCCAAUUAAUCAUCGAUAUUGAGCUGGUUCCUUGAGGGCAUCACUAUCUGUUGUCGUUAGUACCAACUCAGGUUCCAUGGGGACUUUAGUGGGCUUCACUCCAAGUAAACCAGCUUCCUCCAAUAUGUCUAGAGUGUACUUCCGUUGUCAAAUUGAAAUCCCGUCUUUAGAGCGUGCAACUUCCACACUAAGAAAAUAUUUUAAUAGUCCAAGAUCUUUAAUCCGAAAACAUCCUUUGAGAAACUGCUUGAGAUUCUGAAUUUCCUGCUCAUCAUUUCCUGUAAUGAUCAUGUCAUCAACAUACAGUAAUAUCACAGUAAUAGAGUUUCCACGAACCAAAGUGAACAACGAGUAAUCAGCUCGAGAUUGUUGGAAACCAAUGUCUUGAAUGGCAGAAGAGAACUGACGAAACCAAGUGCGUGAGGCUUGUUUAAGACCGUAUAAUGAUUUGUGGAGUCGACAAACCAUCUACUCCCCCGGUCGACAAUAACCAGGAGGUGGUAACAUGUAAACCUCCUCAAGCAAAUCCCCGUGUAAAAAUGCAUUUUGUACAUCCAUUUGAUGUAAAGGCCAAUCGGGAACUGCAGCAAUGGAUAACAAGCAACAGACGGUGAUCAAUUUGGCCACGGGAGCAAAAGUCUCCUUGUAAUCGAUGCCCUCGCGUUGUGUAAACCCCUUUGCAAAGAGUCGAGCUUUGUAGCGCUCGAUGGUGCGAUCCGAGUGAUACUUGAUCUUGUAGACCCACUUGCACCCAAUGGGGCGAUGACCCAAGGGCAGAGGGACAAGGGACCAAGUACGGUUGUCCUCAAGGGCCUUGAUCUCAGAACUCAUGGCAGCAAGCCAUUUGGGAUCCUGACUUGCCUGUGCAUAAUUUGCUGGUUCAACCAAGUGACAAAUGUUGGAAACAAAAGUACGGUGGGCAUGAGAUAACUGAGUGUAAAAGACAUACCGAUGGAGGGGAUACCGUGUAACACCCCGACCCCAAAUUUUUCCAAAUUUUACCCUUAUUUAAUUAUUUAAUUAUUUAAGGGUAUUUUAGUCAUAUUUUUAACCGGAGAGAGUUUGGGACCGCGACUUGUAUUUUUGGAUAGGUCGUACUGAGACGAGUUCAUAGACACGUAGUGGGCUCGAAUCGGAGUUGUAACGAGAGAGAUAUGGUCAAAAGAAACUCAGUGGCAUAAUCGUAAAUAUUUCAAAAUGGGAUUUUUUAUAAAAAACCUGGUUUUCUCUCUCUCUCUCUCUCUCUCUCUCUCUCUCUCUCUCUCUCUCUCUCUCCCUCGCGGGUCUCUCUCUCUCCUCUCCCUCGCGCGCGACACCGGCCACGUUUUGGCCGGCCGUGCUCUCCUCCGGCCACCAAUGGCGACGGGACCGGUACCAAAAUGACUGGGCCGUCGUCCUCUUCCUACCCCAGCCAGCCCCCGCCUCCAGCCGCCGCGGUUUUGCCGGAAUUUGGAGAAGAAGCGGCGGAUGUCGCCGGAACUUCAACGUCGUCGAUCUCCCUCCUCCGGCCACCAAAUCCGUCGACCCAGGUAUGGAUUUUGAAGCUCUCGAGCUGCUCUAGCUGAUGGUUGGGUAGGAUUAGAUCGAUUCUUAGCGUAGGCAACUCAAUUUUCGAAUUGAAAAUCGGCCGAAACUUCGGCCGCCGUGAUCGGGCAUUUCCGGUCACUUUUUGGGGUAGGUCCAAGAACAAAAGUGACUCCAAAUGAGGUGUUUUACCUAGGAUAGGAGUUUGGAGUCUUGGUUCCGAGAUUUUUCGACGAACCAUAAUCGCUUUGGACACCCGAUCUGCCCGCGCGUGUGGCAGCGCGUGGGCGAGGGUGGUGGAGUGACUCUGGGCAGUUUUGAGAUCCUCGUGCCGUCACGAGUGCGUAGAAUUUCGCGGAUCUCAAUUUGGACGUCGUUUGACUAUCGAACGGAUAAUCGCAUAUUAUGCGUUAUCCGGGUUCGAUAGGUUGGGACCGUCGGAUGGUCCCAAAUUUAAUAUAUGUUAAUCUAGGUAUUUCUAGGAUCGUGUAGGAAUUCACGGAUCGUAAAUCGGAGCCCCGGAUGUUCCAAAUAAUAAUUUUAAUUUUAUAUUGUAUAUUAACCGUCGGAUCGUGCGGUCGUGAGAAAUCUGACCGUCCGAUCUGAACCAAACUUGCAGGACAAGUGUCCUAUACCUGGUAGAACCCAUAGGGACUUCCGGAUCGGAAAUUGGAGGUCGUGGGUUCUGCAGGUCCGGUUGACCAGGGUUAGAAUUGUUUGACCCUUGGUUGACCGUGAGUCUUCCGGUGUAAUCCCACCUUUUUAAAGGGGGAUUAUCGGGUGCUAGACCAUUGUGGACGAUUACACAAUAUAAGAAUUAAUUUAUAUAAAUAUAAUUAUAUGUGGUUGUACAAGGGUACAACAGAGUCUAGAAUGUCAGUUUGGAGUGCUAUACGCACUACUUUAGGUACCUCAUCGGACUUUGGAUUCAUUAGAAGCACCACCAAGCGAAAGUUAGGUCCCACGUGGCGUAGGUUAUCCGGCGUUGAGACAGGCCCCAUACGUGGCGUUGGUUGUACCGGCGUAUGGGGAGCUAUGUAAUAUUAUGUUGAGGUCGCACGUGGCGUAGGUUAUCCGGCGUGUCGACAGACCCCAUACGUGGCGUUGGUUGUACCGGCGUAUGGGGAGCUUUGUGAUAUAAUAUUGAGGUCCCGCGUGGCGUAGGUUAUCCGGCGUUGGGACAAGCCCCAUACGUGGCGUUGGUUGUACCGGCGUAUGGGGAGUUAUGUGAUAUGAUGUGCAGGUCUCACGUGGCGUAGGUUAUCCGGCGUUGAGACAGACCCCAUACGUGGCGUUGGUUGUACCGGCGUAUGGGGAGAUAUUAUGAUAGUAUGGCAUGGUCGCACGUGGCGUAGGUUAUCCGGCGUAUUGACAGGCCCCAUACGUGGCGUUGGUUGUACCGGCGUAUGGGGAGAUUAUAUGAAAUACAAAGAAAUGAAAUAAGGUAUCGCCCAAGUGGGGAAUUGAGUUUUAGGGAAGAACUACGUGUGGCUUGAUCCCUCAAGGAGGGUACGUAGGCAGCCUAAGUUAUUAGGUGCAGCCGCAGACUAAAUAUUAGUCAUAAUUUGUAUUUGAAUGGUUUGGUAGUUGGUUAGGAAUUAUUGAAAGGCCGAAGGCCAUUUGUGUGAAUUGCAUGAAAUUAUAUUGUGCAUGCUGCCAGUUGGGAAUAUUAAAUGUGUUUUUAUGCAGGUUGAAAUUUUGGGAAAUGUCCAAUUUAUAGGGGAGACUCUGCCGAAAUUUCGGCAGGAAGUCUCGGUUUUUAGUAAGUGGGCAUGGCAUCGGGGUGAUGUCAGGAAUUCCAAAGGGUUCGUCUCGGGUUUUGAGAAAAUUCGGGGCGGGUCCUUAAAUACCGGGUGCCGGACGGAGAAGAAGAGGGAAGACCAAGCGAGAGCAGAGCAGCAUGGUGGGCCUGGUAGUGUUUAAAAUGAGCCGGUGGAUGGGAGGGUCUGUUGGAACGACGAAGGGGAAGAUGAGGGCCGAUUGCGAUGGUAUCCGAAUCGGGUGAAGGGAUGUCUAGGAGAGCUGGGAUAUGUGGUGGAUCGGUUGGGUCUUGUAAAGGCGACACAGGGAGAUCGAGAGGAAGGUCUGGAGUGGUGAUGGAAGAUCUGGACGGUGAGGACAGUAGGGCUGGAGGUGUAACAGCUAAAGGGGGGUCGGUGUGUGGGCUGGAAUGAGUUGGGGAUGUUUCAAAAAAAUUAGGGCCAGCUAUGUGUGGGUCAGUAAGUGGGAUAGGUAAAACUGGGAGGUCUUGUUGGUCUUCACACGGUAAGUGAGCAAAAGGAAACGUGUAUUCAUGAAAUAGAACAUCACGUGAAGUAACAAUUUUGUGGUUAUCAAGAUCAUAGACAAGGCAACCCUUCUGACCAAGGGGAUAUCCUAAAAAUAAACAACGACGCGCACGAGUAUCAAAUUUGUGAAUGGGAGUGAGAUUCGUAGCAUAGCGUAAACACCCAAAAACCUGGAGGUGAGAAUAGGUAGGUUGAACCCCGUGCAACAAUUCAUAAGGGGUUUUAUGGGCAAGUAAGGGUGUAGGGAGUCGAUUGAUGAGAUAAGAAGCAGUUUGAAGACUUUCUCCCCAAAAUUUCAAAGGAACAUUAGCUUGAAAACGUAAGGCUCGAGCAACAUUCAAAAGAUGGCGGUGUUUGCGUUCAACAACCCCGUUUUGUUGCGGUGUGUGAGCACAAGUGUGGUGAAAAAUGGUACCAUGACUAUCCAAAAAAAAAACGCAUGGAGAUGAAUUCACCACCGUUAUCAGCACAGAGAACUUUGAUGUCAUGAUUAAAUUGCGUUUUGACCCAAGAAAAAAAUGAUUUUAAAAAGAUUUGUGUGUCAGACUUAAAACGCAUAAGAUGAAUCCAUGUGAAGCGAGUAAAAUCAUCCACAAUAGUUAAAAAAUAUCGUGCCCCAGAAUGUGUAGGAAUUUUGUGUGGGCCCCAUAUAUCACAAUGUAUUAGAUCAAAAGGUGCGGUAGAUUUUAUUGAACUAUGAGUAAAAGGCAAGCGUGUUUGCUUUGCAAGAGGACAAACAUCACAAACACGCGCAGAAUCAAACAUAAUAUGGGGAAUGGCUUUGGAUAAAAAAUGGAGAGGAGCAGAGGAAGGGUACCCAAGGCGUUGGUGCCAGAGAUCCGAGGUACGGUGAAUAUGAUUAGCUAGGUGGGGAUUUUGUUGUGGCGUAAGGUAGUAGAGCCCAUCAAAAUGCUUGCCCAGGCCAAUCGUCCUCUUCGUUUCCACGUCCUGCACAACACAAAGCAAGGAGUUGAUUGUAUUGCUCGGUUGUGAAGGUGGGGCCUCCAGUAGCAGAAGCUGUUGGACCCUUGGUAGGAGGUGUUUCCAAUUCUACACUGUGAGCAGCAGCCCUCUUGUCAUUGUGGGCAGGUGGCUUCUUAUUCCUGGGUUGCACAUUCUUCCCAUGCCAUUUGUGACCCGUUGGAAAUCCAAUGAUGUAAUAGCAAUGAUCAACUGAAUGACCCUCUUGGUCACACUGAGAGCAUUUGGAGGGUUUGUAGGGGCGGAAAAAGCCUGUGGUCGCCGGAGCAUGCGAAGUCUGCAUAGCGUGAGAAUAAGAUGGAUUUUCUCGGCGACUUGCCACUUCCAUCUGUCUCUCAUGUUGGAGAAUUAACCCAUGGACUCUUCGUGUAUCAGGAAUAGGAUGCAUCAUCAAAAUGGAGCCACGAACAGUGGAGUAAGAAUCAUUUAAUCCCAUUAGAAAUUGCAUGACCUUCUCCUUUUCCUCACGAUCUGCAAGCUUUUUCAGGCCCUCACAGUCACAAAUGAGGGGUUCAUGAUAAGUAGACAAUUCAUCCCAAAGUGCCUUGAGUUUGGUAUAGUAUAUGGAGACUGAUUGUUGUCCUUGACGACAUUCGACAAUUUCUUGUCGAAUUUGGUAGAUCCUGGAGUCAUUGCUCUGGGAAAAUCUGUCUUUGAGAUUGUUCCAAACGGCGGCUGCUGUGUCAGAAUAGAGGACGCUGCUGGCAAUGUCGGGAUGAAUCGAGUGUAGGAGCCAUGACAAUACCAUGUCGUUGCAACGCUGCCAUAUAGGAAAUUUGGCAUCAGUUGAUGGUGGUGCUUUGACAGACCCAUCGAUUAGUCCAAGUUUAUUCUUGGCACUGAGACUGAGACGCCCCGAGCGACUCCAUUGUCCAUAGUUAUUUCCUUUGAGUGGUGCAUUGGCAAGAGUGAGCCCUGGUGUGUCGGAAUGGUGCAAAACGAGAGGAUCAGAUAUGGUUGACGAAUUGGUGAGGGUCGUUGAAUCUGUGGCUUGUUGAAUUGGGAGGAUUGUUGAAUCUGUGCGUUGUGGUUCACCCAUGGUGGUGUGCUUAGUAGUUUUGUGGGUGUCUGUAGCGGAAGGUAGGUGGGUUUUCAGAGUCACCAGUCUUGGUGCUCUGAUACCAUGUGAGAAUAUAUGAAGAAUAAGGUUUGUAUUCAAUGAGUCAAACCGUACACAGAGGCAUGUGUUUUAUACAAGUAAAUGAAAGCUAUUCUAGGAAAACAGAGAAGCUAUUCUAGGUAAACAGAACCUAUUUAUGUCGAUUACAAUUUUAUCCUACAACUGCUCCUAAUUAGAUCAUAAUCAGAUCAUUGACUAUUUUGUUUCCUUUUACAUCUUGGAGGCCUUUACAUAGAUGAUUUAAUUAAAUUUCGUGAGCACUAUAUUAUUCGUGAUAUGAUUAUUUGGUUAAUGUUCUUGUUACAAUUGAAUAGAUUCCCUAGAAUGUUUAUGUGUUAUUGACUGGUUGAAUAAUGUUGGCAUAAUUAUAUAUACACUGGUGAUAUUUUAAAUGGUUACAUUGUUGUGAGAUACAUGGCAUAUGUGAAAGGAAUAAUUAUAUCAUGUCAUGGAAAUUUGUUGGAGUUGUUGGAUUGAGAAAAUAAUGAUGGAAAAGAGGGUAAUAGAAAUAGUCUUUUGUGGAGUUGAGUCUAACUCUUGGCAGGUACUAGGUCUCAGGGAUCCCACAGUGCACUUGGUUUUUAUUAGGUGAUUCGGGACUGGCGAUAGAGAGUUAGACAAGAUGACUAACAAAAGGGGCAUUAUGGGAUGAUUGAAAUGGGUGUUAGUUCAUAUAAAUGGGCAUUCGGGACCAAGUGGUAUAAGCAUGGUAUGGGACGUGUUGGUCUGCUUGUUCAGUUAUAUGAAUUAAUGGGAUUAGAUGAAGAGCAUUCAUGCAUUAACAUUAUUAAUAUGAUAUUUGGUAGUGUGAUUGCAUGUCACUAAAUUUAGUUAGGUCAAUUUUCUGUGGUAAGGUCUCAUGUCCCUACUGAGCAGUGGUUGCUCACCCUUCACCUUGUUUAAUUUUUCAGAUGAAUUUGUGGGUAAGACAAGGACUAAACCAGUUGAGG